Leopardus geoffroyi (Geoffroy's cat) is the source of this 3246-nucleotide long non-coding RNA. RefSeq lists it as uncharacterized. NCBI's taxonomy places the organism in Eukaryota, Metazoa, Chordata, Mammalia, Carnivora, Felidae. The record is from RefSeq and is a predicted model, not a curated record. The transcript has 2 exons.
CUCUGUCUCUCAAAAACAAAUAAAGAUGUUUAAAAAAAAAUUUUUUUUAAAAAGAAAGAAAAACUGACGUAUAGGAGGGCAUGAAAAUGAUAUGCUGCAUUGAAUUCACCAGGAAUGGUAAACGUGCUUUGAGGAGUUUGUAGUUUAUGGUCCUAUUUCCUCUUCUCCAAACUUCUCGAGAGACAUUCUUAUCCGAUGAUGUGGUAGGAGGACAUUGGCAAGAUCACAAAAGGUUAUCUCAAGCUUAUCCCAGGAUGUAUGUUCCUGGCUGGUGCAGAUUCACAGAUUGUUUCUUUAAACACCCCCAGUUGGAAUGUUUGUGGCACUGGUGUUUAUCACACUAGCGGGUGGAGUAGGCCCUGGUAGAAGCUUCUGCUCACAUGGGUGGGGUGGCUGGAAGGGCAUCGACUCUUCAGGCCCCCGUCUUACCUGGAGCCACUUUACGUGGCCUGGAGUUGCCCCAGGCAGUAAGGCAGGAUACAAAUAGACACAGUUAAAAGUCAUAUGGAGGAAAGAGCCUCACAUUUUUCUUAGCGUUUUUCAUGGGACACAAGCCUGAGGAGAGCAGGCAGAGGGCAACUCAGACCCUGGGGUGAGGGAUGAAAGGGCCAGUGUCAGUAGGUGGAUCCAGGCUGACCAGGGAAAUGCUGGCCCACCGCGGGCAAGCUCAGAUUUGGAAGGAGCUCAGGGCAGCGAAGUGGGACUGCCCACCCAUCUCUCCAUUUCCAAUUUUUCUCUUUUAUUUCCAUCUCUCUUGCUUGUUAACCUUCAUAUUCUGUCUCCCAUGGGUCCUCCCCUGAUGCCCUCAAAAGAGAUGCCUUGAGCAGCAGUGACAGAAGAAUCCACUGGAGGGGAAGGGAGGGGACUGCUAUUUUAGAAAACUAACUAUAUAAAUAGAGAGUUGGGCUCUGAAAAGAAGUUCCUUAAAGACUGUGUGGGAUUUAAAAACCAAGCAACAAGCAUGAGAUAGACAGUACAGAUGAGCUAAAUGCAAACACAGUCCUUGCAUCAUGAAUUCUCUUCUUGCUUCUCCGUCCUGUUCUCUCCAAGCCUCUGCCUUAGAAGAGAAGGAGGAGUGAGAGGAACCUAGGAAUACAGCACAGCCAGGGAAACAGAAAAAAGGGAGCCAGAUGCACAGAAAGGCAGAAGAGGAGUAAAGUAACUAGGACAGGGCCACCCUCGGGUCCACCACAUAGCUAGUGAACCAGUGUAUUGACUUAAAUAGGGCUGCAGGGCUUAACUCCCAGUACCCAGCCUCACUUCCUGCCCUUAGAAAGGAUUUGGAGCUCCAAUGUAUAUUUCACUGUCAGGACGAUGAAACCGCGGCAGUAAAUGCACUGGCUGGGUAUGUAGCCCCACAUCCAGGCCAGUCCUGCCUCACAUCCGUGGGGCUCUGAUGAAGCCCCGUCAUUCUGGGGGCCAAGUAGCAAACUUGUUAAUCUAUCUGCUUCUCUGCAAGUUGCUGACAAACGGCCUGGGGUUUGGCAGGCUGCAGGAUAACCAGAGCAAGCCUGCCUACCGGAAUCAGGAGCAAGAACUCAGUAAAAAACGAAAGAAGGCUCAUUCCUUGCUAAGCAAUAGAUUUGGAGCUCUCUGGUUGUUCUCAGGACGGAAAGUGCUUUUUGGAUUUCUGAAGAGGGAAGAUGCUGGGGGAAGAGCCCAGCAUGUGAUGAGUGCAUGGAAGAUGCCCGUGAGCUCUCGGCGCUCCAGGAUGGCUGACCCCGAAGAGCUGGAGUGCACUGACCUGCUGCCGCUGGGGCUGGAGGAAGCAGCUGUCAGUGACCCACUCUCGUGCCUGGGAUAGGGAUUAGAGGGUCAAGCAGGACAGCAGAGUGCUGAAGCUGUUCCGCCAGCUUUCCAGAGUGACUGUGUGCAUCUCUUCCAAGCUCAGAUUCAGAAACAUCCUCGCCAUGGUAGCUUGAAAGUUCGUGGUGAGAGUGUUUACACCACAGGAAUCAGCAGGCGCUCCAAAUGAGGACUGUCCCACCACCAAGGGCCAUCCGGUGAACAUUUACCAGCAUGCCCCUGGGCAGGAGGCACGUGUGAUCAGAUAUUUUUUGAUGAUACAUAAUUACAGAUUUUUAAUGCUCUGAAAGCCUGGUCUUGUUUUCCAUGAGGGCAUAUGUUUAUGUGUGUAUCCCCUCAACCCGAUUCCUAAGAAUUCAGCAUCCUUUAGCUAGGAAGUAAAAUGAGAGCACAUUUCCAUUUUCAAGGUUUGUUUAAGAAUUUUGCAACAAGUAUAAGGAGAUCAUGUCUGCUCAGCUAAGCAAUUUGGUGUCUGUUGAUAGCCAAACAGCCUGGAAAAUUAUCUUUGCCUCAGCUCACCCACUGUGCAAGGGAAUGAUGCUGACAAGCCGGCUGCUUCCAAAGGCCUAUUGUGUGGUGCUCGGCAGCACGGUGGUGAGGGAGAGGCGGGCCUAUGAUUUAGCCAUCUUUUGCUCUGUCUACUUUGCUUAAUAAGAACACUGCCAGACAGUCUCUGCGUGGCUUUUCUGUCACCACUGGGGCCAUUUCUUCUCUUCCAUCCCUCAGGGGAUAUGGAGUAUAGACAGGCACCAGUAAGAUUGGAAAGAACUUCCAACAAACCACAUGGAAAUUUCUAGAAACGUGUGGAUGUCUGAAACCUCCUAAGCAUGAAAUGCCAAGAUUUCUUUUACUUUUCAGUUGUGUCUCUUAAAACAUGGAGGCACGUGGCUUUUGUGACCGUGUGUCUUGGAAAAGAGGAGAAGGUAGAUAGGGAGGAAUCCAAGUCCUUAAUGUUCUAAAAUGGAAGGAUGCUCACACUCAAUCUCUAUGAUCUUAUAAAUGAAGAAACUGGGGACGCGGAAGGUGCGUGACUUCCUGGAGGUCAGCACGCAGAACGGGACCCCAAAUUCCCAGUCAGCGCAGAGCAACAACAUCUGCCACCACAGCCGCUCCUCUCCGCUCUGUCACUAUGUGCGGACCACUGGCUGUGACAGGGGCCACGCUGAACAUUCUGCAUGCUUUUUACCUCAUCUAACACGCACUCAACAUCUCCUGGGCACAGGCGUGACCGAGCACUCAGAGGAUGGAGAGAAUAGGCAGCAGCAGCAGCUUACAGUCUCAUCCUGCAGAUAAGAACUCUCCCAAUUAAAAGGGUGCACGAAGCACUUCGGGUUGAAAGGCAGGAGAAAGCAUACUCGGCUAAGGCAUUUGUCCAUCCCUAAGAUUCCUUUCCUGGGAAACAUUAGCUAAAGGAAGAAAAUAAAUCUUUAGAGGUAAACA